Molecule: ribosomal RNA, 1326 nt
Filed under: Pseudunio homsensis
Lineage: Eukaryota; Metazoa; Mollusca; Bivalvia; Unionida; Margaritiferidae
Description: Margaritifera homsensis 16S ribosomal RNA
Rfam family: Archaeal large subunit ribosomal RNA (bases 871-1217)
Source: RNAcentral
ACACAAUCCUAACAUUUUACCUCAAACAUAUUAAAGAAAACACUCAACCAUAAAAGUAUCUUAAAAAACCAUCUCAGAUAAUAACGAACCGCAAGGGCCAAAACUCAGUCGAAAAAAGAAAGAAUAACCCCCUCUCCCUUUUGCAUCAUGGAGAAGCAACAUUCACAUUAACAAUACUUAAACUCCCGAAAAAACAUGAGCUACUAACCCUUAAAAUUAAUGUGUCACAAUUAAUAAACUAGCCGUUAGUAGAAGUAACAAGCCUUCCACAUUUUUUGAUAGCUGGUUUUCCCUGAAAAGCAUCAAAGUGCUAGCUUAUGGUACUACCAAUUCCGAUACCACCGCAAGCUAAAAACUACCGAGGAUAAGCUCGGUAGUUUCCCUAAAAUAAGUUAAACCCACAAAGUUACAAGUAGGCCUAAAAACAGCCAACUUACCGCGUUCUAGCAAAUAAAUACCUACAAAACACAUAUAACUACCCAUUUUAACAAACAAGGGAAUCUAACGCAAAACAACCAAUAACCUUAACAAACAGGCAUUCUAUUAGUAUAACCUACCCAAUUCAACACACAACCCUAAAACCCAAGUGAACUAAACGAUCUUCUACAAUAAGAAGUAAAAUGUACGUAACGAACUCGGCAACACUGUUUUUCGCCUGUUUACCAAAAACAUCGUUUCUCGAAAAGACCAACAUGAGAAAUAAUGCCUGCCCAGUGAACAUCAAAUUUUAACGGCCGCGUUAGCGUGAGCGUGCUAAGGUAGCGUAAUAAAUAGCCUCUUAAUUGGAGGCCAGUGAAUGGCAACACGGAAAACCCCUGUAUCACGUACACCAAUAAAAUUUUAUUUUUGGGUGAAAAAGCCCGAAUAACCGAGGAAGACAAAAAGACCCCGCGGAGCUUUACUUUAUCAAGCCAAGCAAAUCUGUCAGAUUUGCUAUGCUAAUAAGUUUGGUUGGGGCAACCCUGGAACCAUUAAAGCUUCCAGUCACGACUAGAAACAUCAUCAAAAACAUCUCCGGACUAAAAAGAAGUUACCCCGGGGAUAACAGCGUAAUCCAAUUUAAGAGUACGCAUCGAAAGUUGGGUUUGCGACCUCGAUGUUGGCUUAAGGUAAUUCACACUAGCGCAGCCGCUAUGAGAGAAUAGUCUGUUCGACUAUCAUACCCUUACAUGAGCUGAGUUAAGACCGGCGCAAGCUAGGUUGGUUUCUAUCUCCUCCAUUACCACUAUACUCUCAAUUGUACGAAAGGACCCUGAGAUGUGCAAACUCCAGCAACCUCUAAUAAACACUCAAUCCUUAAAUCUAACCCAAUUUCCACAAAAUCCC